Molecule: ribosomal RNA, 446 nt
Filed under: uncultured bacterium
Lineage: Bacteria
Description: partial 16S ribosomal RNA
Rfam family: Bacterial small subunit ribosomal RNA
Source: RNAcentral
CCUACGGGUGGCUGCAGUCGAGAAUCAUUCACAAUGGGGGAAACCCUGAUGGUGCGACGCCGCGUGGGGGAAUGAAGGUCUUCGGAUUGUAAACCCCUGUCAUGUGGGAGCAAAUUAAAAAGAUAGUACCACAAGAGGAAGAGACGGCUAACUCUGUGCCAGCAGCCGCGGUAAUACAGAGGUCUCAAGCGUUGUUCGGAAUAACUGGGCGUAAGGCGGGCGUAGGCUGUUUCGUAAGUCGUGUGUGAAAGGCGCGGGCUCAACCCGCGGACGGCACAUGAUACUGCGAGACUAGAGUAAUGGAGGGGGAACCGGAAUUCUCGGUGUAGCAGUGAAAUGCGUAGAUAUCGAGAGGAACACUCGUGGCGAAGGCGGGUUCCUGGACAUUAACUGACGCUGAGGCACGAAGGCCAGGGGAGCGAAAGGGAUUAGAUACCCUAGUAGUC